This 225-nucleotide unclassified non-coding RNA is filed under the name plant metagenome. RNAcentral's name for it is "partial contains small subunit ribosomal RNA, internal transcribed spacer 1, and 5.8S ribosomal RNA". The record is from RNAcentral.
UCUCCGUAGGUGAACCUGCGGAGGGAUCAUUACAGAGCUCAUGCCCUAACGGGUAGAACUCCCACCCUCUGUUAUUAUAACUUCGUUGCUUUGGCGGGCCGCCUUUUACUAUGCUACCGGCUUCGGCUGGUGAGCGCCUGCCAGAGAAACCCAAACUCUGAAUAUUUUUGACGACUGAGUACUAUAUAAUAGUUAAAACUUUCAACAACGGAUCUCUUGGUUCUG